CUGCAGUCGAGCGGUAGAGAGAGCUUGCUUCUCUUGAGAGCGGCGGACGGGUGAGUAAUGCCUAGGAAUCUGCCUGGUAGUGGGGGAUAACGUUCGGAAACGGACGCUAAUACCGCAUACGUCCUACGGGAGAAAGCAGGGGACCUUCGGGCCUUGCGCUAUCAGAUGAGCCUAGGUCGGAUUAGCUAGUUGGUGGGGUAAUGGCUCACCAAGGCGACGAUCCGUAACUGGUCUGAGAGGAUGAUCAGUCACACUGGAACUGAGACACGGUCCAGACUCCUACGGGAGGCAGCAGUGGGGAAUAUUGGACAAUGGGCGAAAGCCUGAUCCAGCCAUGCCGCGUGUGUGAAGAAGGUCUUCGGAUUGUAAAGCACUUUAAGUUGGGAGGAAGGGCAGUUGCCUAAUACGUAACUGUUUUGACGUUACCGACAGAAUAAGCACCGGCUAACUCUGUGCCAGCAGCCGCGGUAAUACAGAGGGUGCAAGCGUUAAUCGGAAUUACUGGGCGUAAAGCGCGCGUUGGUGGUUUGUUAAGUUGGAUGUG
This 544-nucleotide ribosomal RNA is filed under the name Pseudomonas sp. MYb98. RNAcentral's name for it is "bacterial SSU rRNA". It matches the Rfam family "Bacterial small subunit ribosomal RNA", at positions 55 to 596 of the family's 1533-position model. Lineage: Bacteria; Pseudomonadati; Pseudomonadota; Gammaproteobacteria; Pseudomonadales; Pseudomonadaceae. The record is from RNAcentral.